GCAGUUUACUACCUAAAGGGCUCUGGGUUCAGCCACCGCUGGCAGUUCGUUCACGUGAUGUUUUCCCAGGGAACCAAAGAGAAGUAGAGAAGAGUACGUGCAGGACGGGGAAGUAUGUUUUAUUUGCAUACUGGGCGCCUGUUCUGAGCAUGUCGUGACGUCUAACCAAUCAGGUCAGCGAAUCCCGCAAACCACGCCCGCGCGGUAACUCGUGUCGCGCGCUUCACAAUCAGCAUUGUACUAGUGUGCAAGUGAAAGAACCCAAAGUUACAAGCGUCUUUUUGUCACCGUUUCAGCAGGGUUACCUGACAGGAGGACUUUUUGUGUAGCAAGUUGAACUCAGGCAGAGCUCAAAAAACUGCAAGGACGUCUUCGGAACAAGCUCGUGGCUGCCGAGUUUAAACUGCUACCAGCUUGGAGAAGUUAUUGUUCGCCACUCCGUGGGGUUUAAAUUUCGGCUAACAGAAGCGCCCCAGGCCGAAGCAGGUUGUAAGCUCUGCGUGUUAUAAACCUUAAGUUAGGUCGCAAUGGCAGCUGUGUGCCAGCCACGACGGGCCUUGGUGGAAAUACCUGCUCCACAGCCCAAAAUUGCCGUGGACUUGGCAGUUGGUGGGGCGUGGAGAGGAAGGCUAGAGGAGCAGUGCGAGAAGAUGGACGAGCACCACACACCGCUCUCCAAACAGCAGCUUGUGCAGCUCAUUAGAUCCCUCAUCUUGGUCGAACAGAGCCAAGAGCCCAGGAUCAUGGCAUCAGACCUGAAGUAUCUACAGGAAGACCUGCAGCUAAAGAAGGCCAAUGUUUAUAGGUCCAUACCUUACUCACGAUUUGGAUCCAACAGGGACGCUCACUGCUACAGAAAGGCGUACCCUCACCUGGUGGCAUUCAAAGUUUCGUGUCAGGAGUGGGGUCAAGUUCUGCUCAGGAACAAAGAUUGGGACGCUGUGUUGGAGCACUCGCUGAUGGCGUGGCGUUACACCAGCGAGCUGCCGCAGUGGGACACUGCAAGCCACAACGCCCUUCGAGAGCAGUGUUACAGCAUCCUGGCGGCUCACAGCCUCACCGCUCUCCAGCACUAUUCCCCCGAACCCAACAGAGGACGCGAGCUGCUCAGAAGACUGAAGAUGGCUCAGCUGUAUAGCCAGUCAAUUGUUCCCUGCAUACAGGAGUUGCAGAGGAUAAUGGAAUGUCUUGAUGACUCGUCCAUGGAUACAAAAUGAAAGGAGAAUCCGGCAAAAGAGUGCGAAUUGUGGAUGACCAAAAAAAGGCAAAAACGUGCUUUAUGUGUGGUGAUGGGCCAGGAACAUUGAACACAUUAGUGUUUGUGUAAAACCACUACAAUAUUCUUCCAAAGGGCACGGUGGCAAGUGCAAAAUGAACAAAAUGAAUAAUGCAGGCUUCAAAGGGUAAUAAAUAACACUCCCUAAAUGGCUGAAAAUGGCAUUUUAACAGCAUGUGGAAAGUGUUAUUUUAGGAGUUGUUGCACUGCACAAUGGCAGGGUAUUAAUUAAUGUAACAUUUUGUUCAUACAUUACCAGCCUAUAUGAAAAUGGAGAAGGAGCAUUUACAUUCUGAAAAGCAUUCAGUUGGUGCUUACUGUUAAAAUGUUUGUAUGCUUUUAGACAUCAUAUAGUUUAGUCUGUGUCGAUGGCUGAAAUAUAAAAAGUAUGAAAUUUGCCCCGCUUGUUUUUGCAGGGUUGUGUGUGUGUGUAUAUAUGUUCUUGUUACUGUUUACAUUACUUGAAGCUGUGGCCUUUGUCUUAGACUAUAGUAUCUUGUGUAUCUUGUGUGUACAGAUACUCAUCUGUCAAUGAUUGCACUGUUGUUUGUCCUGAAAACUUGAACAAUUUUGAUAAGACUCCUAAUUUAAUUAAAGACGUUCUUUAAACUGCACUCAUGUGUCUUUGUUCUGUGCGAGUGCUUUGCAUGCGUGCCAAGCACUGUGAACGACUGGAGAAUUUGAGGACAGUGCUGUUUUCAUGUAGUAACUCUGAAGUUUCUAAGUGUGGUUUUUUUGUUUGUUUUUUUUGUAGGAAAACUGUCAAUAGACUGUAAUGGUUUUUCCAACCACUCUGUUUCUAUGCUCACAGUUUUAUCUAAAAUAGAUCAUAGGCUGUGGCUUCCAGGCUCCGAG
This 2131-nucleotide long non-coding RNA is filed under the name Oreochromis niloticus (Nile tilapia). RNAcentral describes it as "lncRNA (ENSONIG00000027172.1)". The record is from RNAcentral. Lineage: Eukaryota; Metazoa; Chordata; Actinopteri; Cichliformes; Cichlidae.